GCUUGCUUAGGUGACGCAUACACUAACAAUGGUAUGAUACAGAGAAGAUUAGUACAACCCCUGUGCAAUGAUGACUCUGAAAAAUCAUGAAAUGUUCUGUAUUUAG
Small nuclear RNA from Elgaria multicarinata webbii, 106 nucleotides. Lineage: Eukaryota; Metazoa; Chordata; Lepidosauria; Squamata; Anguidae. The record is from RefSeq and is a predicted model, not a curated record.